CUCCAGAAGGAUGUCUAGCAUCUUCGCAGUGCCUUGGGGUUUCGUCUUUCAAUCCUAUUUUCUGUUAUGAUUUUUGAGCUUGUAAAGAAAAAGAAGAGGGGGAGUUCCUGUCGUUGCUCAGCAGUAACGAACCCGACUAGUGUCCAUGAGGACGUGGGUUCGAUCCCUGGCCUCACUUAGUGGGUUAAGGAUCCUGUGUUGCUGGGGCUGUGGCGUAGGCUGGCAGCUGCUGCUCCAAUUCAACCCCUAUUCUGGGAAUAUCCAUAUGCUGCAGGCGUGGCCCUAAAAAGACAAAAGGAAGGAAGGAAGGAAGGGAGAGAGAAAGAGAGAAAGAGAGGAAGGAAAGAAGGAAAGAAGGAAGGAAGGAAGGAAGGAAGGAAGGAAGGAAGGAAGGAGAGAGAAAAAAGAAAAAGAAAAAAGAAGAGGGUUACAUGUUAAUUGAAAGAGGGAGAAAUUUGCCAACUCAUGCGUGUCUAUCCAUUUAAAAAUAAUGCACAAAUUAUAAGCCAUUCCAGCCAAAUUGAAGCUCUUGUUUCAAAGGAUUCUUAGCAUGAAUUACCGAGAUAAGCGCCUGCUUAGAACAAAAAUCCCCGACACCAGUUACAAGCCCUUGUUGCCAAUUUCUUGGGCUUCCACAAAACACGUGAAUGGCUGGAGCCUCUUGAGGUCAACAUAAGGGAAGCAAGUGUUGGAAGAUGUUUCCUGUUUCCUGCCGCUUGUGCCCGAGGGCAGCUGCCAAGAGGCUCUGUCUCAGUGUUCCGAGCCCCACCGCCUCAUCCUCGUGUCGGAGGCCGAGGGGGAUGAAGAGUCAGACAAGUGGACGGACACCAAUGAUCAUUUCAAGGAAGAGCUGGCAAAGACCAAAGCGAGUCACGCUGCCCUUGGCCAACGCAUCCCCCCGUGGUGCACGCCGGUGCUGACCGAACCAAGCGGGGGUGUCUAGACCACCCUUACUGAGACCCCUUCUUCCCAAGAACAUGGCUUUUCUGAAUGACAUAGUUCAAAGAGCUGUGUAUGGGCCCUGAGCGGGGCUCGGAUGCCGGCCCUGCCUGAGCCUAGUGGAGCUCAGAAAUGUGUAGUUUCAUUACCUGCAUCGUUGAGAAUCAACUACGUGGCGUGUUUUAAAUCUCCCAAGUCUCUGCCAUGUCACAGCUGCUUUCCCUCCACCACAUUCCUCAGCCUCUGAGACCCCCACCCCUUCAUAAAGUCAGAAGACUUCUCAUGAAAGAAAAUACACUCUCAAGUACAGAAGUCAAGGUGGAAGCUGUAACCUCAUUCUCCCGGUCUCGGUAUCAGUAAGGAUAACAUCUGCCAAGGGUGAUGAAUGGUGGUUCUGAAAAGAUAGAAUUGUUCUUGCUCUCAGGUCCAAAUCUCGAGGCAGCCAGUCCAGGGCUGGCAAGGUGGCUGUGGACCAAUAAGUCCCCAGGGAUCUGGGUUCCUUCCAGAUCAUCAUCCCUGGACUGUGGCACUGGUCCUCAUGGUGCAGGAUGCCGGCUGGAGCUCCAGCCAUCACAGUUAUCUUCAGACAGCAAGACGGAAGGAAGAACAAAGGGCAGAGGUGAAGGGCAUUCACCAGGUCUCCUUACGGAGUGCUGGUGGGGGCUGUCCCACAAACUGCCAUUCCCAUCCCACUGGCCAGAAUCUGGCCACAUGGACACCUAGCUGUGAGGAGGGCUGAGAACAGAGCAUUUGCUCUGGGGGGGCAUGUGUAAUUUUGCUAUUAUUCCAGAAGGGUGGCGAGUAAGCCAUUGAGGAAGGCAAACUAGCAGUCUCUGCCAUGGUGUGUCUGUCUGAUCUUAGACUCUACUGUUGAGAAAGCAUUGGAUGGAGUCAAGCAUGCUCCUUAGUUCAGGCUCUGCAUUCUGAGCAUAUUUAAAUUUUGAAGAUGACGCCUCAUAUUCUGUCUCCUCUCCAAUCCCAGGAAGUAAUACACUGAUGAUGUCACUCAGUGGUCACUUCAACAGCCACGGCCCCUCAAAGUCCCCCUGCCAGAGGAUGCUCCAGGCUGUGAGCAGCUUUUCAAAACCCGCUGCUUUCCAACAAUGUAGCGCUCAGUGGAGACCGGGAAAUAAAGGAAUAAAAGGGAAACGCAAAGUUAGCAGAAGCCCAAAGAAAAAUCACAGGGAGUUGACGGUUCAAUGGUUUGUUGGAAAGAGUGAAUCAUUCAUCUCAUCAGCGUUUUCUCAAAGGGAAAACCUUCCAUCUCCUUGGGUUUUAAUUACAGCAGAUGCCACGCCUGAGGAGUAUUCGAUCCGAGGAGAAGUUGACCCAGAAAAUUGCCACCAGGGCAUCUAGAAAAUUAGCUAGUGAAAGAGGAAACACGGCAUCUUUGGGGACCAAUGGGCAUCAGCUACCUGCUUUAGAGUUUGAGAAAUUGCUAGAAUUAUCGCCAGGAAUUUCUCAGUUGGGUGACCUUACCCAACGCCAGAAGAUCUGACUAUUGGAUAAACCCUGAGGGACCAGAAAUAAUUCCAUGCCCAGACCCAGGCUUCUCAACCUCAGCAGGACACCUGCAGCCGGAUGAUUUCCUACAGUGAGUGCCACCUCUGUGCCGGAGGUCAUACGGCAGGGUCCUCGAACUCUACCCACUAGGGGCCAGUAACACUCGCCCAGUUCUGACACCCAAAAAGAUUUUCAGACACGGACCAAUGUCCCCCAGUUGCAAAACAGACUCCAGACUCCAGUCAAGAGCCACUGUUUUUUAAAUUUUUUUAAUUUUAUUUUAUUAUUAUUGUUAUUAUUAUUUUUUUUUUUUUUUAGAGCUGCACCUGAGGCAUGUGGAAGUUCCCAGGCUAGGGGUCUAAUUGAAGCCGCAGCUGCCAGCCUACACCACAGCCACAGCAGGGCCAGAUCCAAGCUGUGUCUAUAAUUUGUGCGAACAUCAGAUCCUUAACCCACUGAGCAAGGCCAGGGAUUGAACCUGCAUCCUCAUGGAUACUAGUUGGGUUCUUAACCCAAUGAGCCACAACAGGAACUCCCAAGAACCACUGGAUUUUUUUUUUUUAAUGGCUGCACCCACAGCAUAUGGAAGUUCCCAGGCCAAGGAUUGAAUCGGAGCCACAGCUGUGACCUAUACCAAACCUGCACCUCCACAGUGACCCGAGACUCUGCAGUCAGAUUCUUAACCCACCGCAGGAACACCAAGAACCACUGGUCUUGAUCCUCUUUUAGAAUUUUGAAACAGAGACUCAACGCUGAUAACUAUGCAUUUGGGUAGGACAUAGAGCAGUGCCCUCGAACUCUACCCACUUAUUCAGAGGCCACUGUACGCUUUCAGUUUCAUAUUUUCACUCCCUUGGUCUUUCAUUCCCUCAGUCAGCGACCUUGGGACUCAGGAGUGGCCCAGGAAGGGAGGCUCCCUAAUACCGUGGAGAGCUCUGCCCCCUUGGCACUCAGCACACACUGGGCUUCAAGCCCUGGAGAAGGACUGUCACAUCACUCCCACGGCUGCCCCCAGAGCCCACACCCCUGUGAUCCCCAUUUCACAGAGAAAAUAACUGAGGCUCAACAAGGUCAAGUCCCUUCCCCAAGGACACACAGCUUGGAAAUAUCCGGUUGCAGGAAUUUGAACCCAUAUCAUCUGAACCCAGAAGCUUCAUUUUUAACCAUUUAGGUUUUUUGGAGGUUUUUUGUUGGUUGGUUUGUUUUGGUUUGGGUUUGUUUUUUGAUUGUGGCCACACUCAUGGCAUGUAGAAGUUCAGGAGCCAGGGAUUGACCUCAAGCCACAGCAGUGACAACGCCAAAGGCCACCAGGGAACUCUAGCCAUUAAUUUAAUAUCAAUGACACGCUAAGCAUUUUGCCUGGUGCUUAGCAUUACUUCAAACCAUCUAGGGGAGGGGGUUACAGGCCCCACUUCAUGGAUAAAGGAUGCUGCCUACCCAUCUAAGUAAAGUGGGCUGCUGCGACAGUCAGUUACAUCUGGAAAAGAAGUCCUUGAAGGCUGAAUGCAGCAAAGCAGCUCUGCUCAAAGUCUGUGGUUUAGAUCAUUUCAGGAUUCUUUUUUUUUUUUUUUUUUUUUUUGCUUUUUAGGGCUGCACCCACGGCAUACAGAGGCUCCCAGGCUAGGGGUUGAAUCAGAGCUACAGCUGCUGGCCUACACCACAGCCACAGCAACACAGGAUCCAAGCCAUGUCUGCAAGCUACAGCACAGCUCACAGCAGCACCAGAUCCUUAUCCACUGAGCAAGGCCAGGGAUUGAACCCAAAACUUCAUGGUUAUUAGUCAGAUUCAUUUCUGCUGCGCCACGAUGGGAACUCUCAUUUCUGGAUUCUUCUUUUUAACAAGUGCGUGGCAUGGUCAGAUUCUCAGACAACCUGAGUGGAAUCAACCUAGUACAGAAAAUAACUGGAGGAAAGGAGCCCCUUCGCCCAGGCAGCACCAGCAACAAACACAUAAAAUGCAGGGAGAAGUUGAAGAAGCAUGUGGAAAAGGCUUUAACUUUAUUAAGGCAUAGAAAGGAAAAAAUAGUAAAGCACAUUCUUUUAGGUAGGAAAUUUCAACAUAGGAAGCCAUUAGCUGUCCUUAAACUUGCCUCUAGAUUUAUCUAAGGUAAAGAUCUUUCUGAAGGCUACCCCACGAGUGAUGGGCAUUCACAGAAACCAGAGAAGUCUGGCAAAUGACAACCACCAAUAUUCAUCGAGAGAUGACUGUCCCAGGCACCUCGGCUUUAGGUCCUAGCAUCAUCCCCGUUUUACAGAUGGUGAAACUGGGGUUUUAGUAUCUUUGUCAAGAUCCCAGGGGGAGUACAAGGCAGGGAAGGAAUUGGAACCCAAACAGUUCUCUUUAAAUAUUACAGAGUAUUGACCUCCUCUUUUGCCCCCAAAAGUAGGAUGUGGUCUGUCUUUCUUCAAAAAGAGAAUCUUGGUCAUCUUGAGGAAGUGACAUUUGAGAUUUUUGAAAGAUGUCAUGCCUUUGAGUAUCAGUCCCCCAAAGAGGCUAAUGGAUGAAAAGAAUCUUGUGUUUACAUGUAAUGUAGUGUAUUCCUCUGUUAAAAGACUUAUGACAUUAUAUUGUCAGUGUCUAAGAGUCUCUUGACUACAAGCUCCUUAAGGGUAGAGACUGUACCAGUAAGGAUGAUUUUGGCUACAAAUAACAUAGUAGCCUCUUAAGAGACUCAGAUGAAAAAGCAAUUAUGUUACUUAACAAAAGCCUAUAGGUCCAGCCGUUCAAUAAUUGAAGGUCAACAUUUUCUGUCUCUCCCCUCAUGGUUGCAAUGUAGCUGCUGUAGCUCCAGACAUUGUACUUUUACCAAAAGGCAUCUCAAGCAGAGGGCAAGUUAGAUGGGGCAAAGGUGUUUCUUCUUAUGUGCUUUUCUCUUUUCAAGAAGGAAAAUAAUUACCAGUAGUCCCUAGACAACUUUCCCUUAUGUCGCAAAGAAUAAAACUGGGUCACGUGACCACACCUUGCCCAUUCAUGAAGGGGAAUAGGACUGCCUUGAUGGGCUUAGUACAGUCAUGAUUUGUUUUCUGGGAUUGGACACAUUGCCACUAACACAAAGUCCGGGUUCUGCUACUGGAAACAAGAGGGGACAGUUGUUGUCAGGCAAACAAUAGGGAAUGUCCCAAUGACCAUGGCUGUCAUUUCAUCUCCAGUAUCUCACAUAGUGAGACACAUACCUGACACACACUGAGUGAAUAAAUGUUUGUCGAAUGAAUGAGAGACUGUAUUAGUCAGCUUGGGCUGCUACGGUUUAGACCAUAGCCUGGGUGACUUAACAGAAACCUAUUUUCUCACAGUUCUAGAAGGUGGAAGUCCAAGAUCAGGGAAUUAGCACAAUGUCUGGCAAGAAACCUCUGUGUGACGUGCAGAUGGCCACCUUCUGGUUGUGUCUUCACAUAGGAGAGAGAGAGAAAGAGAGGGACUUAUUCUUCUUAUAAGUCCACAGUCCUAUAGAGUUAGGGUCCCACUCGUAUGCCUCAUUUAACAUUAAUUACCUUCUAGAGACUCUAUCUCCAGACACAGUUACACUGAAGAAUUAGGGCUUCCCUAUAUGAAUUUUGGGAAGACACAAAUCAGUUUAUAGUAGAGACCAAAUGAAUAAACAAAUGUCCAACGAAUGACUGAAUGAUCCAAUGAAUGAGUGUUUGUACAACCGAAUGAAUCAAUGAAUCAAUGAAUACGUCAAGAUCAAAUACAUGAAGGGCAGCAGAGGUUUAGUUAGAUAAUGUUUCAGUGCCAACAGAAGCAAAAGUUUGCAAUUUAAUGCAGAGCCAAAAUAGUGCUGAACUGUGACUUCGGGAAAAUCUCCUGGAAACAUCCUUUCUCCCUUCAGAAAUGUGACUGAAUGAAUAAUAUGUGGCAUUUCAUCACCCUCAACUUAUGACAUGAUGCCCUGCAAAUGCACAACCGAUCACCGAAAGGACAAAAGCCAAUGACCGUGGAUGAGCACAGAAGCACCAGGGAAGCAACAGUUGGGAUGCUAGCCCACAGCAACAUCCGAGGACAGGACGGCAAGCAAGAAUGGCCCUCAGCCAUCACACCUUGUUCCCUGUCAUCACCUGCUCACGCUGAAAGCACCAACCUGGACAUUAAGUCAAACCUAAUACAUUAUACCCCCGCCUUGCGAGAACUCAACACAGCGCAAAUCUCAAUUCUCAGAAAAAUGUGGACACACAUGAGGCAAAACCUAGACUAUUCAUCAUCAACCAGGAACUCAGUCUUUAUUUUUUUCUUUGAAAGGAAUGUUUUCCAUAAAAGCCGU
Molecule: long non-coding RNA, 6701 nt
Filed under: Sus scrofa (pig)
Lineage: Eukaryota; Metazoa; Chordata; Mammalia; Artiodactyla; Suidae
Description: lncRNA (ENSSSCG00000061666.1)
Source: RNAcentral